GGCUCUGUAGCUCAGUCUGGUUAGAGCACUAGACUCUUAAUCUAGGUGUCGUGGGUUCGAAUCCCUCCAGGGCCA
This 75-nucleotide transfer RNA is filed under the name Candidatus Pacearchaeota archaeon. Its description in RNAcentral is "tRNA-Lys". It matches the Rfam family "tRNA". Rfam says of the family: Transfer RNA (tRNA) molecules are approximately 80 nucleotides in length. Their secondary structure includes four short double-helical elements and three loops (D, anti-codon, and T loops). The record is from RNAcentral. Lineage: Archaea; Nanobdellati.